UUAGUACGAGAGGACCGGGAUGGACGGACCACUGGUGUAUCUGCUGUCGACCAACGGCAUGGCAGAGUAGCCAAGUCCGGAAGGGAUAAACGCUGAAGGCAUCUAAGCGUGAAGCCCCCCUCAAGAUGAGAUAUCCCUCACAUAAGUGAGUAAGAUCCCUUGAAGAGUACAAGGUAGAUAGGGCAGAGGUGGAAGCACGGUAACGUGUGGAGCUGACUGUUACUAAUCGAUCGAGGGCUUGACCAAAA
This 248-nucleotide ribosomal RNA is filed under the name Roseburia intestinalis. RNAcentral's name for it is "partial 23S ribosomal RNA". It matches the Rfam family "Bacterial large subunit ribosomal RNA", at positions 2678 to 2925 of the family's 2925-position model. Lineage: Bacteria; Bacillati; Bacillota; Clostridia; Lachnospirales; Lachnospiraceae. The record is from RNAcentral.